Molecule: small nucleolar RNA, 128 nt
Organism: Arvicanthis niloticus (Nile rat)
Lineage: Eukaryota; Metazoa; Chordata; Mammalia; Rodentia; Muridae
Product: small nucleolar RNA SNORA17
Source: RefSeq, a predicted model, not a curated record
AAUGCCUGUAGAAGCAUGGCAGGUCUAUGUUGUAUCACAUGUACAUCAGUAGAUGGCAGAGGAAAGAGGCUAUGCCUACUCUCAAUAUUCUGACCUAUGAAUGUCUGAAUGAUCAGUAGCAUAACAUU